AUGAACGCUGGCGGCGUGCCUAAUACAUGCAAGUCGAGCGAACAGACGAGGAGCUUGCUCCUCUGACGUUAGCGGCGGACGGGUGAGUAACACGUGGAUAACCUACCUAUAAGCCUGGGAUAACUUCGGGAAACCGGAGCUAAUACCGGAUAAUAUAUUGAACCGCAUGGGUCAAUAGUGAAAGACGGUUUUGCUGUCACUUAUAGAUGGAUCCGCGCCACAUUAGCUAGUUGGUAAGGUAACGGCUUACCAAGGCGACGAUGCGUAGCCGACCUGAGAGGGUGAUCGGCCACACUGGAACUGAGACACGGUCCAGACUCCUACGGGAGGCAGCAGUAGGGAAUCUUCCGCAAUGGGCGAAAGCCUGACGGAGCAACGCCGCGUGAGUGAUGAAGGUCUUCGGAUCGUAAAACUCUGUUAUUAGGGAAGAACAAAUGUGUAAGUAACUAUGCACGUCUUGACGGUACCUAAUCAGAAAGCCACGGCUAACUACGUG
RNAcentral lists this ribosomal RNA (496 nucleotides) under uncultured bacterium. RNAcentral's name for it is "partial 16S ribosomal RNA". It matches the Rfam family "Bacterial small subunit ribosomal RNA", at positions 29 to 507 of the family's 1533-position model. The record is from RNAcentral.